RNAcentral lists this ribosomal RNA (253 nucleotides) under uncultured bacterium. RNAcentral's name for it is "partial 16S ribosomal RNA". It matches the Rfam family "Bacterial small subunit ribosomal RNA", at positions 524 to 776 of the family's 1533-position model. The record is from RNAcentral.
UACAGAGGUCUCAAGCGUUGUUCGGAUUCAUUGGGCGUAAAGGGUGCGUAGGCGGCGCGGUAAGUCGGGUGUGAAAUCUUGGAGCUUAACUCCGAAACUGCAUUCGAUACUGCCGUGCUUGAGGACUGGAGAGGAGACUGGAAUUUACGGUGUAGCGGUGAAAUGCGUAGAUAUCGUAAGGAAGACCAGUGGCGAAGGCAGCUCGCUGGGACGUAACUGACGCUGAGACGCGAAAGCGUGGGGAGCAAACAGG